Molecule: ribosomal RNA, 253 nt
Filed under: uncultured bacterium
Lineage: Bacteria
Description: partial 16S ribosomal RNA
Rfam family: Bacterial small subunit ribosomal RNA
Source: RNAcentral
UACGGAGGGUGCAAGCGUUGUCCGGAAUCACUGGGCGUAAAGGGCGCGUAGGCGGCUCAUGAAGGCUGUGGUGAAAGUCCGGGGCUCAACCUCGGAUCGGCCGUGGCGACUCGUGGGCUGGAGCACUGUAGAGGCGGGUGGAAUUCCGGGUGUAGCGGUGGAAUGCGUAGAGAUCCGGAGGAACACCGACGGCGCAGGCAGCGUCCUGGCCGCUUGCUGACACUGAGGCACGAAAGCUGGGGGAGCAAACAGG